GACGAACGCUGGCGGCGUGCUUAACACAUGCAAGUCGAACGGAAAGGCCCUGCUUUUGUGGGGUGCUCGAGUGGCGAACGGGUGAGUAACACGUGAGUAACCUGCCCUUGACUUUGGGAUAACUUCAGGAAACUGGGGCUAAUACCGGAUAGGAGCUCCUGCUGCAUGGUGGGGGUUGGAAAGUUUCGGCGGUUGGGGAUGGACUCGCGGCUUAUCAGCUUGUUGGUGGGGUAGUGGCUUACCAAGGCUUUGACGGGUAGCCGGCCUGAGAGGGUGACCGGCAAAAUGGGAACGGGGAACCGGCCCAGACCCUUCCGGAGGCAGCAGUGGGGAAUAUUGCACAAUGGGCGGAAGCCUGAUGCAGCAACGCCGCGUGCGGGAUGACGGCCUUCGGGUUGUAAACCGCUUUCGCCUGUGACGAAGCGUGAGUGACGGUAAUGGGUAAAGAAGCACCGGCUAACUACGUG
RNAcentral lists this ribosomal RNA (467 nucleotides) under uncultured bacterium. RNAcentral describes it as "partial 16S ribosomal RNA". It matches the Rfam family "Bacterial small subunit ribosomal RNA", at positions 28 to 507 of the family's 1533-position model. The record is from RNAcentral.